Molecule: ribosomal RNA, 427 nt
Filed under: uncultured bacterium
Lineage: Bacteria
Description: partial 16S ribosomal RNA
Rfam family: Bacterial small subunit ribosomal RNA
Source: RNAcentral
UGGGGAAUAUUGGACAAUGGGCGAAAGCCUGAUCCAGCCAUGCCGCGUGUGUGAAGAAGGUCUUCGGAUUGUAAAGCACUUUAAGUUGGAAGGAAGGGCAUUAACCUAAUACGUUAGUGUUUUGACGUUACCGACAGAAUAAGCACCGGCUAACUCUGUGCCAGCAGCCGCGGUAAUACAGAGGGCGCAAGCGUUAAUCGGAAUUACUGGGCGUAAAGCGCGCGUAGGUGGUUUGUUAAGUUGGAUGUGAAAUCCCCGGGCUCAACCUGGGAACUGCAUUCAAAACUGACUGACUAGAGUAUGGUAGAGGGUGGUGGAAUUUCCUGUGUAGCGGUGAAAUGCGUAGAUAUAGGAAGGAACACCAGUGGCGAAGGCGACCACCUGGACUAAUACUGACACUGAGGUGCGAAAGCGUGGGGAGCAAACA